GACGGAGGAUGCAAGUGUUAUCCGGAAUCACUGGGCGUAAAGCGUCUGUAGGUGGUUUGAUAAGUCAACUGUUAAAUCUUGAAGCUCAACUUCAAAAUCGCAGUCGAAACUAUUAGACUAGAGUAUAGUAGGGGUAAAGGGAAUUUCCAGUGGAGCGGUGAAAUGCGUAGAUAUUGGAAAGAACACCGAUGGCGAAGGCACUUUACUGGGCUAUUACUGACACUCAGAGACGAAAGCUAGGGUAGCAACUGGG
This 253-nucleotide ribosomal RNA is filed under the name uncultured bacterium. Its description in RNAcentral is "partial 16S ribosomal RNA". It matches the Rfam family "Bacterial small subunit ribosomal RNA", at positions 524 to 776 of the family's 1533-position model. The record is from RNAcentral.